UGAACGCUGGCGGCGUGCCUAAUACAUGCAAGUCGAACGCACUAGUUUACUAGUGAGUGGCGAACGGGUGAGUAACACGUAGGUAACCUGCCCUUAAGACGAGGAUAACCGUUGGAAACGAUGGCUAAGACUGGAUAGGAAUAAUUAAGGCAUCUUAAUUAUUUUAAAAGACCUAGCAAUAGGUAUGCUUAAGGAGGGGCCUGCGGCGCAUUAGCUAGUUGGUGGGGUAAUGGCUCACCAAGGCGACGAUCCGUAACUGGUCUGAGAGGAUGAUCAGUCACACUGGAACUGAGACACGGUCCAGACUCCUACGGGAGGCAGCAGUGGGGAAUAUUGGACAAUGGGCGAAAGCCUGAUCCAGCCAUGCCGCGUGUGUGAAGAAGGUCUUCGGAU
Molecule: ribosomal RNA, 393 nt
Filed under: uncultured bacterium
Lineage: Bacteria
Description: bacterial SSU rRNA
Rfam family: Bacterial small subunit ribosomal RNA
Source: RNAcentral